UGGAAGUGAAAGGGCUCUUCUGUUCAAAUUGGACUGCAAGAUUGGGGUCUUUGUAAAAUAAAAUUCCUACUGGAUGGAUCAGGAGUGUCUGCAUUUUCCUUAUAUAGAGAUCAGAAUAAUUUUUAUUUUUUUGAAAAGUGACAGGGAGUUUUAUAUUUCAGAUCUAAUGAAAUAAGACUUACUUUAAUUUUCUUUUCAACCUAUCACAGGAACAAGAAUUUCAUCCACAGUUGCUGAAUUUUUCAAAGUGAAGGAAAAAGGACGUUACGUAGGAGCUGGUGUAACUGGCGCAUGCCUAAUCCCGUCUUUUAGGAACUGGGAACAAUGUGAACCUGCGAAAGGGAAAGGAUUUUUGUGCUUCUCCUCCUCUUUGGCACCUGCAGGUGCCAGAGGCUGUGCACGUACUGGAUGUCCCCUACUGCCACUGUAGUCACUCGGGGUCACGUGCAUAGUGAAACUUCAGCCUUCCAGCUACUUGUGAGGCAGUAACACGCCUGUACUCUCAUGCCUGACUGACCGUGCCUCUGGUUUUUGCUGCUGUUUUUGAGGUAGUUGAAGAAGCAACACAUUUACAGCAAAUCAGGUAAAUGAUACGUCGGAGGAACAUAAAGCUGUUUUAUACAAGCACUCAUAAAAGACUUUUCUCCCGGUAACAAAUGGCAUCUAUGUCUCUUCCAGCAGAAUAUUCCUUACUCUGAUUAUCUAAAUAAAACCCAUGAUUGUGCAGAGGAAGGAUUUUUGAGUGCUACAAACAGAGGUCUGGACUUUUUUUUUUUCACCUGAAGUGCAAUGCUGUCUCAGUGGGCUACUGAAACACUGUUUUCCUUUCAUUUUGC
Egretta garzetta (little egret) is the source of this 836-nucleotide long non-coding RNA. RefSeq lists it as uncharacterized. The transcript has 3 exons. The record is from RefSeq and is a predicted model, not a curated record. NCBI's taxonomy places the organism in Eukaryota, Metazoa, Chordata, Aves, Pelecaniformes, Ardeidae.